GGUGUGGUAGGAGACUCUGGAACCCUGUUCGAUUUUGAAGCACACCUUGACGACCCUGCUCGAUGCCUCGAAGGCCCAGACUACCUAAGGGUCACGCUCCCGCUCAAAGAGCGUCUGUGUCUCACGACGGCUGUGCCCGCUGCCCGCGUGCGCGCCGGGUCCCUGGCCAGAUGGGCGAGGUCAGGGCUCAGGAGCGUGAGUCUGAGGGCACCGGGGCUCUAUGUCUGCUGCUGCCUGUGGCUGUCCGACCCUCUUCAUUCCGGGCCCUGCCUUGUCCUGGCGUCUGGGGCUGGGGGACCGUGGCGGGGGCGCUCAAGAGACCCGGUUGGCAGCAUUUUCUGUGGAAACAGAUGCCUGAAGGUGGUUCUGUUCCCGGGACCCCCUGGAAGCUUCCCUGGGCCCACUGGCCGUGAGGGGACGCGUGCGUCUCCACAGGCCCCUGUCUCUGCCUCGGGAGGCUUGCCGGUGAGUCAUCUGGUCUUCGGCAGCUGUGGCUUUAGGGAAAACAAGAUUUUUCUGUACCUUUGUGAUUCCUGUGAAUAUUCACCCGUCCCCCCCACCGGGUGGGGUUUGGGGCUCUGUGUGCCCCGGCAUCAUGGGAUCGUCCUCUCGUGCCAGUCCCCGCACCCCUGUGCGUGCCUCCCCCCACCCCGCCCCCGGCCUCCCCGGGGUCCCCCAGGCGGCUUCUUUCUCUGCCCCCCUGCCCUGACCUUGGCACGCGGGGAGUCGAGCACAGUCCGAUGUCUGGAGGAAGCUCACCGGCGCCUCGCUGGCGUCGAGGCCUGGAGGGAGGGCUGGCGGCCUGUGCUCCGCCGUGAGUCCUGCCCACCCGCGCCCGCCCCGCUUCCGGGGCUCCCUCCAGGAGCCUCAGUCUGGGCACGCAGGGUGGGCAGGGGGAUGUGCAGGGGCCGCCUCCCGCAGGGAACGAUGAGGUGUCAUGUGCCCCCCAACAGGCACAGGCCUGCUCCCCCUGCGGCCCCGUCCUCGGCCUCCUUCCUCCUGUCCCGUCUCGCCCGGGUCUUGCCGCAAAGACUGUUUGCCCGCCCCUGGCCUGUGGGCUUCCAGCGCCCAGACACUGUCGUGUCCAGCUGGCGGGAGCCCAGCCCGGGCCUGCAUCCUCGGGGAGCCGCUUCCUUGGCGUGA
Molecule: long non-coding RNA, 1143 nt
Filed under: Felis catus (domestic cat)
Lineage: Eukaryota; Metazoa; Chordata; Mammalia; Carnivora; Felidae
Description: lncRNA (ENSFCAG00000051558.1)
Source: RNAcentral